GCGAAGAUGGCGGAAUUGGCAGACGCGCUAGCUUCAGGCGCUAGUGAAGCAAUUCGUGAGGGUUCGAGUCCCUUUCUUCGCA
This 82-nucleotide transfer RNA is filed under the name Dubosiella newyorkensis. It matches the Rfam family "tRNA". Rfam says of the family: Transfer RNA (tRNA) molecules are approximately 80 nucleotides in length. Lineage: Bacteria; Bacillati; Bacillota; Erysipelotrichia; Erysipelotrichales; Erysipelotrichaceae. The record is from Rfam by way of RNAcentral.